This 98-nucleotide non-coding RNA is filed under the name Paenibacillus sp. RNAcentral describes it as "Guanine sequence". It matches the Rfam family "Purine riboswitch aptamer". From Rfam's summary of the family: Riboswitches are metabolite binding domains within certain messenger RNAs that serve as precision sensors for their corresponding targets. Allosteric rearrangement of mRNA structure is mediated by ligand binding, and this results in modulation of gene expression. A class of riboswitches that selectively recognises guanine and becomes saturated at concentrations as low as 5 nM. The record is from RNAcentral. Lineage: Bacteria; Bacillati; Bacillota; Bacilli; Caryophanales; Paenibacillaceae.
ACAAUAGAAUCCAAUAUUGCGUAUAACCUCGGCAAUACGGGCCGGGGGUUUCUACCGGGAACCGUAAACUCCCGAUUACCAGCAUGCUUCUUUCGGCA